AAAUGAAUAGACGGGGACCCGCACAAGCGGUGGAACAUGAGGUUUAAUUCGAUACUAAGCGAAGAACCUUACCAGGACUUGACAUCUCUGGAACCCCCUAGAAAUAGGGGGGUGCCUUCGGGAGCCAGAUGACAGGUGUUGCACGGUCGUCGUCAGCUCGUGCUAUGAAGUGUCCCGUUAAGUCGGUUAACGAGCGCAACCCCUGCUGUUUGUUGAAUUUUUCAAACAGGACUGCCGGCGUUAAGUCGGAGGAAGGUGGGGAUGACGUCAGAUCAGCGUGGCUCUUACGUCCUGGGCGACACUCGUGUUACAAUGGGUAGUCACAAAGGGUUGCAAUACCGUAAGGUGGAGCUAAUCCCAUAAAACUACCCCCAGUUCGGAUUGAGGGCUGCAACUCGCCCUCAUGAAGCCGGAAUCGCUAGUAAUCGUAGGUCAGCCAUACUACGGUGAAUACGUUCUCGGGUCUUGUACACACCGCCCGU
This 482-nucleotide ribosomal RNA is filed under the name uncultured bacterium. Its description in RNAcentral is "bacterial SSU rRNA". It matches the Rfam family "Bacterial small subunit ribosomal RNA", at positions 903 to 1397 of the family's 1533-position model. The record is from RNAcentral.